Non-coding RNA from Ornithorhynchus anatinus (platypus), 71 nucleotides. The record is from Rfam. Lineage: Eukaryota; Metazoa; Chordata; Mammalia; Monotremata; Ornithorhynchidae.
AAGAAAGAAUCAUAAUGGUAGUGAGAUUGGCUUGAAACCAAUAUUAGGGGGUUCAAUUCCUUCCUUUCUUG